CUCUUGUAGGAAGUUGUCCCCUCGGACUAUGUGACAGCAAGAUUUCCUCAUAUGUCUGCUUCUCUGCAGAAGAGCUCUGUAUCUGCGUGCUGCUGUUGCAGCUGCAUUGUGCCUUGUCUGCGGAUGUGUGACACAGCUCAAAGGGUGACACAAUGCUGGGAAACCAGAGGAAAAGCGAAUGGAACUGUAAAGUUCUCCCCCCCCUCCUUUGUUCAGCAGGGAGUCCUCUGAAUUAACUUCAACUGAGAGGAACUCAUUUUGGGUUUUCCAUAAACAAAGCAUCAGAGCAUGGUUGUCCAUUGUUCUUAUACACUGGAGUCUGAAACUACCUCUUCUCCUUUUGUCUGUCUUUUUUAAAAAAAUCACUCUGCUAGAGUGAAUAUUGUACAGUUUCUUAUCCCAUGAAUACAGACAAAGCCUCCACUCUUCUUGCUUCCUACAGGGCAUCUCCAUGGAGGAUUCAUAGCAGUGCUGUAAUAUACUGGUAUUAAUGAGCACAUCAUUCAGUCCCCUAUUCCGGCUUUUUCAACAAGCCCAUACUCACAAACAAACUUUCAGGACAGUAUUUAUCUGCUUCAAACUGAAACUGCAGAAGUAAUUAAAAGCUAGGUGAUGGCAGGUCUGUAUGUCCAGCUAGCCUUAUUUUCUCUUACACAUUCACAAUUUUGUAAUUGGCCACUGGAUCGCUAACCUUUUCAUGAUUGGCCCUAGAUUGCCCUCCUACUAUUCAGUGUCCAUAACUGUUAAUGGGAAUUCUGCAUAUAGCCUGAAAAAGUAUGUAAUAGCCUGAAUCGAUGGCUAUAUGUUUAUUAUCCUCUCUUUGCACAGGGCUUCGGCAUUGCUCUCUACAGUUAUGAAACUUCAUCUUUAAAGUACUGAAAGAAUAGAGCUACAGGGUAAAACUGUACUGAAAAUAUCUUAUAAAUGACCAGUGUUUGUAUUUUUAAUUUAAAAAAAAUGAAUACAAAUAUUAAAGAAACUCCUUAGCAUCUGUGCUGUGUUUCUUAUGGGGGUAUGUGUCAUUGUAGCAUUGUUCAUUUAGUCACAUGACCAGGUUAAGGUAUCUAUGGUGAAAGCUUCUCACCAAUGCAGAUGUCAAUAGUAGGUACUAACAUGUUAACCAACCAAUCCCAGCUAUAAUCCUAGUCCUGAAGGAGGUGGAACUAGUAUGAAAGAUUAUUCAAAAAGGUGAAAGCCUUUUGUUCUCUUCAUGAAGGGUCAAGCUGCAAAG
This 1231-nucleotide long non-coding RNA is filed under the name Chrysemys picta bellii (western painted turtle). RNAcentral's name for it is "lncRNA (ENSCPBG00000015884.1)". The record is from RNAcentral. Lineage: Eukaryota; Metazoa; Chordata; Testudines; Emydidae.